This 870-nucleotide long non-coding RNA is filed under the name Camarhynchus parvulus. Its description in RNAcentral is "lncRNA (ENSCPVG00000015620.2)". The record is from RNAcentral. Lineage: Eukaryota; Metazoa; Chordata; Aves; Passeriformes; Thraupidae.
CGGAGCUCCUCCAUCGCACUCUCGGCCAACAAAAGCAUCCGCAUCUUGGAAAGUACCUUAAGACUUUCCAGGUGCCAGUCCAUUUGGGUAGACUACGGAAGGGAAGAAACAAGCUUUGCCAAGAAAGCAGCACAGAAACAAGUACUAUUGACUCCUGUACUGCAGAACUUGUUGCAAACCUAGGAGACACUUGGCCCCUGGUUCCAGGUGUGGGGGAAACCUGGCUGAAAAGGAUUUUUAUUUAAGAGUGCACAGUGGAAAAUCCAGUGAAAGCUGGCCUGGAACUGCAAAAUGAUGGCCCAAGUGGGUACUCGAAGGUGACAAAAGGACCUCAGGUAAGGGUGGAUUUUGACUGUAAAUUAUCAUUCAAGUUAGUCAAUGUGAAAUAAACUAAUUGUAGCGCUUGUGUGAUUGUGUUAAUAAUUGGACACAAGUCAACAUUGAAGUGACUGCCUUGUUUUCCAGGCUGUUAUUCUGAAAUUUUUCAUCAUGAAAAUAGUCCUAAUUUCUGUGUACCUCAUCAGCAAAUCUAUAUCCACAUAAACAACACUCGUUAUCAUUUUCUUAUCCUUUUUCCUAUUUUGUUUUUCUUCCAAAUCAUAAAAAUGGGCUUUUACAGCUGAUGGAUCAAUCAUGAAAAAGCCCGAGCUGAAAAAAAUUUGUUGUACAAAAAAAAUUUGGACGAUCUAAGAACUCAAUUUGGCAAAUAACAGAACCUUCUAGAAAUAGAAAAUAUAGGUCUCAUUGUAUUUACAUUGGGAGUUUGUUUACGUUUACAGUGAAACAUUGUGCUAAAUCAGGUUCCAGGAUGCUGAGCUCCCAAGACAGAUUUCCUUUCCAUACCAGUAAGCUUUAGUAUCAGGGAAAAUU